RNAcentral lists this non-coding RNA (24 nucleotides) under Mus musculus (house mouse). Lineage: Eukaryota; Metazoa; Chordata; Mammalia; Rodentia; Muridae. The record is from RNAcentral.
CGCAGGCAUUUGCUUAACUAUUGG